UUCGCCGCGGAGCCGCAACCUGUCGGCCACCGUCCAAGAGCUUGCCGGGGCCGGAAGUGACGUUGCGCGCCACUUCCGCUUCCGGCUCAGGCUGCGCGGCGGAUUUCGGCGGGUGUGAGCAGUGGCGCGGCGCUGGCGGAGAACAUACUGUGAUGUCUCAGGGCCAAAACCAUGAGUGAAUUUCGGAUUCACCACGAUGUCAAUGAGCUGCUCAGCUUGCUGCGUGUGCAUGGAGGGGAUGGGGCUGAGGUUUACAUUGAUCUCCUGCAGAAGAACAGGACCCCAUACGUCACAACCAACGUGUCCGCACACAGUGCCAAGGUUAAAAUAGCAGAAUUUUCUCGUACUCCAGAAGACUUUCUGAAGAAAUAUGAUGAAUUGAAAUCGAAAAACACAAGGAACCUUGACCCACUGGUGUACCUGUUGUCAAAGCUCACGGAGGACAAAGAGACUCUGCAGUAUUUACAGCAGAAUGCGAGAGAGAGAGCCGAGCUGGCAGCCACGGCCACUGCCAGCAGCACCACCAGCUUCAGCGCCCCCGCCACGGCCUCCAGGAUCUCCAUGCAGGAGCUCGAGGAGCUGAGGAAGCAGCUUGGCAGCGUGGCCACGGGCUCCACGUUGCAGCAGUCUCUGGAACUUACAAGAAAGAUGCUUCGAGACAAGCAGAACAAAAAAAAUUCAGGCCAGCGCCUCCCCGUCUUCCCUGCCUGGGUGUACGAGCGGCCCACGCUGGUCGGGGAUUUUCUGACCGGCUCAGGCCUAAGCACGGACACAGCUGUGCCUAUAGGCUCCCUGCCCCUGGCCGCCCAGGAGUCGGCCGUCGUGGAGGACCUGCUCUACGUGCUGGUGGGUGUGGAUGGCAGAUACAUCACCGCCCAGCCCCUCACCGGGAGGCAGAGCCGGACCUUCCUUGUGGACCCCAACCUGGACCUGUCCAUCAAGGAGCUGGUGAACAGGAUCCUCCCGGUGGCCGCCAGCUACUCCACUGUGACCAGGUUCAUUGAGGAGAAAUCUUCCUUCGAAUACGGGCAGGUGAACCACGCGCUGGCGGCUGCCAUGAGGACCCUAGUGAAGGAGUACCUGAUUCUGGUGACGCAGCUGGAGCAGCUGCAGAGGCAAGGCCUCCUGUCGCUGCAGAAGCUCUGGUUCUACGUGCAGCCGGCCAUGCGCACCGUGGACAUCCUGGCCUCCCUCGCCACCUCGGUGGAUAAAGGUGAGUGUGUUGGGGGGUCCACCCUGAGCCUCCUCCACGACCGGAGCUUCAACUACACGGGCGACAGCCAGGCGCAGGAGCUGUGCCUGUACCUCACCAAGGCCGCCAGCGUGCCCUAUUUUGAGAUUCUAGAGAAGUGGAUCUACAGGGGGAUCAUCAAUGACCCGUACAGCGAGUUCAUGGUCGAGGAGCACGAGCUGCGGAAAGAGAAGAUCCAGGAGGACUACAACGACAGGUACUGGGACCAGCGGUACACUGUGGUGCAGCGACAGAUCCCGUCCUUCCUUCAGAAGAUGGCGGGCAAGGUGCUCAGCACAGGAAAGUAUCUCAAUGUGGUCAGAGAGUGUGGUCAUGAUGUCACCUGCCCAGUGGCCAAAGAGGUCAUCUAUACAUUGAAGGAGCGAGCAUAUGUGGAGCAGAUUGAGAAGGCAUUCAACUACGCCAGCAAAGUCCUGCUGGACUUCCUGAUGGAGGAGCAGGACCUCGUGGCGCACCUGAGGUCCAUCAAGCGCUACUUCCUGAUGGACCAGGGGGACUUCUUUGUGCACUUCAUGGACCUCACAGAGGAGGAGCUGAAGAAGCCAGUGGACGACAUCACGCCCACACGCCUGGAGGCGCUGCUGGAGCUGGCCCUGCGCAUGAGCACCGCCAACACAGACCCCUUCAAGGACGACCUCAAGAUUGACCUGAUGCCUCAUGACCUCAUCACUCAGCUUCUGCGGGUUCUGGCCAUUGAGACCAAGCAGGAGAAGGCGAUGGUGCAGGCCGGCCCCACGGAGCUCUCUCUCAGCGGCCUGGAGGCCUUCUCUUUCGACUACGUGGUCAGGUGGCCCCUGUCGCUGAUCAUUAACAGGAAGGCCCUGACGCGGUACCAGAUGCUGUUCCGGCACAUGUUCUACUGCAAGCACGUGGAGCGGCAGCUCUGCAGCGUCUGGAUCAGCAACAAGGCCGCCAAGCAGCACGCACUGCACUCCGCCAAGUGGUUUGCCGGCGCCUUCACGCUGCGACAGCGGAUGCUGAACUUUGUUCAGAACAUUCAGUACUACAUGAUGUUCGAGGUCAUGGAGCCCACCUGGCACAUCCUCGAGAAGAACCUGAAGUCCGCCUCCAACAUCGACGACGUGCUGGGCCACCACACAAGCUUCCUGGACAACUGCCUGAAGGACUGCAUGCUCACCAACCCCGAGCUGCUCAAGGUCUUCUCCAAGCUCAUGUCCGUGUGCGUCAUGUUCACUAACUGCAUGCAGAGGUUUACACAGAGCAUGCGAUUGGACGACGAGCUGGGCCGCCUGACCCUGGAACACGGCACGAUGCAGGGGCCGCCCACCGAGGCUGAGCGGGCGGAGGAGCGCACCCGGAAGGAGCUCGCCAGGAAGCACCUGGCCGAGCACGUGGACACGCCGCAGCUGGCCUCCAGCUUCGAGGCCACCAUCAAUAAGUUCGAUAAGAAUUUUUCAUCCCAUCUACUUGACCUCCUGGCCCGGCUGAGCAUCUACAGUACCAGCGACUGCGAGCACGGCAUGGCCAGCGUCAUCUCCAGGCUCGACUUCAACGGCUUCUACACGGAGCGCCUGGAGCGCUUGUCUGCAGAGAGGAGCCAGAAGGCAGCCCCCCAAGUGCCUACCCCGCGGGGGCCCCCAGCACCAGUGCCCAGAGUCGCCGUCACCGCCCAGUGAGGCCCUCGGAGCCCUGCACCACCACACGAAGGAGGGUGGGUGGGUGGAGGGUCCUGUGCGGGUGGAUG
RNA transcript from Pipistrellus kuhlii (Kuhl's pipistrelle), 2957 nucleotides. It is a transcript of the gene named tubulin gamma complex associated protein 2, with no coding region annotated. The record is from RefSeq and is a predicted model, not a curated record. The transcript has 20 exons. Lineage: Eukaryota; Metazoa; Chordata; Mammalia; Chiroptera; Vespertilionidae.